RNAcentral lists this small nuclear RNA (18 nucleotides) under Arabidopsis thaliana (thale cress). RNAcentral's name for it is "snRNA_01182". Lineage: Eukaryota; Viridiplantae; Streptophyta; Magnoliopsida; Brassicales; Brassicaceae. The record is from RNAcentral.
ACGUGGCAUUAUUUCAUU